This 201-nucleotide ribosomal RNA is filed under the name Triticum aestivum (bread wheat). RNAcentral describes it as "partial small subunit ribosomal RNA". The record is from RNAcentral. Lineage: Eukaryota; Viridiplantae; Streptophyta; Magnoliopsida; Poales; Poaceae.
AAGGUAUGGGGGGGUCUGGGCUUUAAGGAUUUGGAGCUUUUUAACCUUGCUAUGCUGGCUAAGCAAGCCUGGCACAUCUUGCAGAACCCGGAUAGCAUGUGCUCAUGUUUAAUUAAAGGUAUAUACUACCCUCAUGGUACCAUCCUGAACGCUCAUCUAGGCAGUGCCCCGAGUCAAGUAUGGAGGUCCUUAUUGGAAGGA